GGUUAAGCGACUAAGCGUACACGGUGGAUGCCCUGGCAGUCAGAGGCGAUGAAGGGCGUGCUAAUCUGCGAUAAGCGCCGGUAAGGUGAUAUGAACCGUUAUAACCGGCGAUACCCGAAUGGGGAAACCCAGUGUGAUUCGUCACACUAUCAUUAACUGAAUCCAUAGGUUAAUGAGGCGAACCGGGGGAACUGAAACAUCUAAGUACCCCGAGGAAAAGAAAUCAACCGAGAUUCCCCCAGUAGCGGCGAGCGAACGGGGAGGAGCCCAGAGCCUGAAUCAGCAUGUGUGUUAGUGGAAGCGUCUGGAAAGGCGCGCGAUACAGGGUGACAGCCCCGUACACAAAAGCGCAUGUGCUGUGAGCUCGAUGAGUAGGGCGGGACACGUGGUAUCCUGUCUGAAUAUGGGGGGACCAUCCUCCAAGGCUAAAUACUCCUGACUGACCGAUAGUGAACCAGUACCGUGAGGGAAAGGCGAAAAGAACCCCGGCGAGGGGAGUGAAAAAGAACCUGAAACCGUGUACGUACAAGCAGUGGGAGCACCCUUUGGGUGUGACUGCGU
This 561-nucleotide ribosomal RNA is filed under the name Salmonella enterica subsp. enterica serovar Enteritidis. RNAcentral describes it as "partial 23S ribosomal RNA". It matches the Rfam family "Bacterial large subunit ribosomal RNA", at positions 1 to 602 of the family's 2925-position model. Lineage: Bacteria; Pseudomonadati; Pseudomonadota; Gammaproteobacteria; Enterobacterales; Enterobacteriaceae. The record is from RNAcentral.